GUGUCAUACUAAAUCCUAUUAUAUAAAUUAUUAAAAAACUAUUAAUAUAUUACUCCUAAUAACCAACUAAAAUUAAAGUACUGAAAAGGAAAAAAUAUCAAUUUAAAGUAGUGAUAUCCCACGUACCUUGUGCAUUAUGGUUUUACAAGCUAAAAAUUAAAUAUAUGUUCCCGAAUCCUACGCGAGCUGCCUUCAUAUAGCUAAGAGCCCACUACUAGUUGUAGCAACAACUUUAGAAAAUAUGAUAGCAGAGGCUACAUACCACCCGCGCUAGAAAAUCGCUGGUUUUCAAUAAACCUUAUUAAUUAAAACAUGUAAAAAUAUUUUACACUGUAAGAUUUCAGAGGAUAAGCCCUGUAAUCAUAAGCUAAUAUUUAAUAAUACUACAAAUUAGGCCUAAAAACAGCCACCUUAAGUACUUUAUCGUAUUUAAUAUAUUUAAUUAUUGAUCAACAUUGCACAAAUUAAUUGAAAAUUAGGAAACCCUAUUAAUCCUAAAUUACUAUGUAAAAAUAAGUAUUAGAAAACAACAAACAUUAAUAUUAAAAAUAAAAUCUAAGUUAACAUAUAAACACUUAUAAAGGAACUCGGCAAACACUUAUUU
This 604-nucleotide ribosomal RNA is filed under the name Scherotheca sp. 2 MPL-2014. RNAcentral describes it as "partial 16S ribosomal RNA". Lineage: Eukaryota; Metazoa; Annelida; Clitellata; Crassiclitellata; Lumbricidae. The record is from RNAcentral.